UGUCUUGCAUACGUCUGUGCGUGGUGGUUCUUGAAGCACUGACUCCAGCUGCAGUCCACUCUUUGCGAAUCUCCCCCACAUUUUUGAAUGGGUUUUGAGUGCUAUUCUGGUUUUCG
This is a long non-coding RNA of Thalassophryne amazonica, 116 nucleotides long. RefSeq lists it as uncharacterized. The transcript has 3 exons. Lineage: Eukaryota; Metazoa; Chordata; Actinopteri; Batrachoidiformes; Batrachoididae. The record is from RefSeq and is a predicted model, not a curated record.